Molecule: long non-coding RNA, 483 nt
Organism: Panicum virgatum (switchgrass)
Lineage: Eukaryota; Viridiplantae; Streptophyta; Magnoliopsida; Poales; Poaceae
Exons: 2
Source: RefSeq, a predicted model, not a curated record
ACCAAGGAGGAGGCGCUGGACCACACCACUGCCACACCAGGGAGAGGGAGAUGCGCCACCGACGAGCUGAAGAGGAGGAGCGACACUGGGACCACCGCGGCCCAGGGAGCUUCGCCAUUCCUGCGCCCUGAACGUCGACCACGGCGUUGCUGCUCGUCAGGCACAGCAUCGCCUCCUCACUGCCACGCCUCGUCACGGCCCCGAGCCCUUCGUCGCCAAGCCACACGGUAGAGCUGAUCGACGCCCUGACGCCAGAAGACCCAGGAGGACGUCCCGGACUACGAGAAGCCCCUGAGACUCCAGAAGACUACGAAGAGUUACAAGGUUCACGCCCAUCUAUGAAAUUGAAUCCUAUUAGGCAUUGCUUGCUAGAUUAUGCUAUCGCUUUACUUUAUGUUAAGUUGAGAUAAACCUGCAUAGCCUAUUGUUUAUCUACAUUCCUUGUACUCCUAUUGCACCUUGAAUUGAUAUGUGAGAUGCUUU